CCAUCUUGACUUUCACAGGACCCCGCCUGGGCACAGGGUUGACAUCCCCCUUCAUGAUCUGUGCUAAGUUGAUGGUCUUAGAGUCCACCAUGUCCUGGAUAACAUGCUUAAAAGCUCUACAGCCCUCAAUGCUAUGUCCGGGCAUCUCAGAAUGAAACACACAACUAGCAUUCUCAUCAUAGUUUGGAGGCCUAUUCUGCCGCUCUAUGGGAAUCAAUAUCCUCGGCCGUACCAAACCCAGAUCCAUCAACCUCUGGAACAGGAGGGCAUAAGUCACAGGUGGCUCCUCAAACUGACGUUCCUCCUUUUUCUUCUUCACCUGGCUCCUAACCCUUGGCGCCUUCUGUUGAGGUGGUGGUUGUUGCUGUUGAGCAGGUG
RNAcentral lists this long non-coding RNA (378 nucleotides) under Lathyrus oleraceus (garden pea). Its description in RNAcentral is "Pisum sativum (pea) long non-coding RNA (PSAT_LNC039400)". Lineage: Eukaryota; Viridiplantae; Streptophyta; Magnoliopsida; Fabales; Fabaceae. The record is from RNAcentral.